AGCGAACGCUGGCGGCAGGCCUAACACAUGCAAGUCGAACGAACCUUUCGGGGUUAGUGGCGGACGGGUGAGUAACACGUGGGAACGUGCCUUUAGGUUCGGAAUAACUCAGGGAAACUUGUGCUAAUACCGAAUGUGCCCUUCGGGGGAAAGAUUUAUCGCCUUUAGAGCGGCCCGCGUCUGAUUAGCUAGUUGGUUGAGGUAAUGGCUCACCAAGGCGACGAUCAGUAGCUGGUCUGAGAGAAUGACCAGCCACAUUGGGACUGGACCACGCCCCAAACCCCUCGGGAGGCAGGAGUGGGGGAUUCUUGGGAAUGGGGGAAAGGCCGAAGGAGCCAUGGCCGGGUAAAGAAGGAGGGUUUUGGAAUGGAAAAUUCUUUUCACCGGGACGAUAAUGACGGUACCCGGAGAAGAAGCCCCGGCUAACUUCGUG
Molecule: ribosomal RNA, 433 nt
Filed under: uncultured bacterium
Lineage: Bacteria
Description: partial 16S ribosomal RNA
Rfam family: Bacterial small subunit ribosomal RNA
Source: RNAcentral